Molecule: ribosomal RNA, 500 nt
Filed under: uncultured bacterium
Lineage: Bacteria
Description: partial 16S ribosomal RNA
Rfam family: Bacterial small subunit ribosomal RNA
Source: RNAcentral
GACGAACGCUGGCGGCGUGCUUAACACAUGCAAGUCGAACGGGUCUGCCCUGUUUUUUGCGGGGUGGGUCAGUGGCGAACGGGUGAGUAACACGUGAGUAACCUGCCCCUCACUUCUGGAUAACCGCUUGAAAGGGUGGCUAAUACGGGGUGUUCUGGCUGUGCCGCAGGGUGUGGCUGGGAAAGAUGCACUUUUGUGAUGGUUUGGUGGGGGAUGGGCUCGCGGCCUAUCAGCUUGUUGGUGGGGUGAUGGCCUGCCAAGGCUUUGACGGGUAGCCGGCCUGGGAGGGUGGGCGGUCACACUGGGACUGAGAUACGGCCGAGACUCCGGCGGGAGCCAGCAGUGGGGGGUAUGGAACAAUGGGCGGAAGCGUGAUGCAGCGACGUCGCGGGAGCGAUGGAGGCCUUCGGGUUGUGAACCUCUUUCGCCGGUGAAGAAGGUCCUGCUCUUUGGGGUGGGGUGGACGGUAGCCGGGUUAUGAAGCGCCGGCUAACUACGUG